AGUGAACGCUGGCGGUAGGCCUAACACAUGCAAGUCGAACGGCAGCACAGUAAGAGCUUGCUCUUACGGGUGGCGAGUGGCGGACGGGUGAGGAAUACAUCGGAAUCUUCUUUUUCGUGGGGGAUAACGUAGGGAAACUUACGCUAAUACCGCAUACGACCUACGGGUGAAAGCAGGGGAUCUUCGGACCUUGCGCGAUUGAAUGAGCCGAUGUCGGAUUAGCUAGUUGGCGGGGUAAAGGCCCACCAAGGCGACGAUCCGUAGCUGGUCUGAGAGGAUGAUCAGCCACACUGGAACUGAGACACGGUCCAGACUCCUACGGGAGGCAGCAGUGGGGAAUAUUGGACAAUGGGCGCAAGCCUGAUCCAGCCAUACCGCGUGGGUGAAGAAGGCCUUCGGGUUGUAAAGCCCUUUUGUUGGGAAAGAAAAGCAGCAGGUUAAUACCCCGCAGUUCUGACGGUACCCAAAGAAUAAGCACCGGCUAACUUCGUG
This 492-nucleotide ribosomal RNA is filed under the name uncultured bacterium. RNAcentral describes it as "partial 16S ribosomal RNA". It matches the Rfam family "Bacterial small subunit ribosomal RNA", at positions 29 to 507 of the family's 1533-position model. The record is from RNAcentral.